GGUCGUGUCGAUUCGAUCGGGAUACUCAUCAAAUAACAUUUACGCCGAGAUGACAUCUUUUGCCUAUGGCGGGCCAUAUAAAUCGCAUCUGCGACUAAGCUGCAAAGCCGGUGGAUUACAAAAGCGAAGAGCUCUCAAAUCAUAAUGAUUACUCGGAGUUUCAUCACAUCAUCGUGCGACCCUUUUU
Molecule: small RNA, 187 nt
Rfam family: Bacteroidales-1 6S-Bacteroidales RNA suggested
Source: Rfam